GGGCACUGUAAAAUUUCCCUGUAUGAGAGUCCAACUUCUGUAUUUCCAAGGACCAAAGUGCAGACAAAGUACAAGUUACCUGCCACUUGAUACAAUGACAUGGCUCUAUCUUCUGUUUACAAUUCCUUUUGCAAAUGUUAUUGAGGUUACUAUGUUUAAUGCACCUGUUCUCCUGUGACUGAAAUAUGUGGUAGAAGAAGGGAAAAUUUAUGAAAAUGAUGUUUG
This 225-nucleotide long non-coding RNA is filed under the name Vulpes vulpes (red fox). RNAcentral describes it as "lncRNA (ENSVVUG00000013258.1)". Lineage: Eukaryota; Metazoa; Chordata; Mammalia; Carnivora; Canidae. The record is from RNAcentral.